CAGGCAGAGACGAGACACCUGGUUAUGACAGGUGCCUUACGAGACAGAUGUGUCCAGCUGUGGAAGAAAAGGGCCAGGCCAAGGAGGGCGAGGAGUGAUGCUUCCGAGGCCUGCAUCUGAGAGGUGCCACUGCCCUGUAGGGUGGCCCGUAGCUAGCAGAGCUGCUUCUCAGGAGGGGCAGGGCCUGAGCUGGCUGGGUCAGUGGAUCCCGGGGCAAGGUGGUGUUGACAGCGACCAGGAUCUUGAGAGGCUCAGCAGAAGCCGACUGGCCUCGUGGGUGGAGUAUCCCAAGGCCACCCAAGCAAAGGCUCCCCUUGGGGCAGGCCUUCCUGCCGGGGGUCGCAGGGAUCCUGAAGCCUCUGCAAACCCAGAGGAAGGCAGGACGGCAGGACGGCAGGACGGAGCGACGGCUGGCGAGCCUCUAAGGCCCCAACUCCCCACCUGUGCUGUCGGCCGAUCCCUCCCAGGACCCUUGGCCACUUGCUUGGGAUGCUCGCGAGGUUCCCUUCCAGGACUCCUGUCUGUCACCAGGCUCGCCACUGCCCACCUGAGCAGACAGACCAGGCAACCACGCGGAGAAACGUGCGGGAUGGAUUUGAACCCUAAGAUGUGGCCACUGCCUCAAAGCAGGAGAGUGUCCCUGAGUCCCUGUGUUCUGGCCCAGG
Long non-coding RNA from Tupaia belangeri chinensis (Chinese tree shrew), 665 nucleotides. RefSeq lists it as uncharacterized. NCBI's taxonomy places the organism in Eukaryota, Metazoa, Chordata, Mammalia, Scandentia, Tupaiidae. The record is from RefSeq and is a predicted model, not a curated record. The transcript is spliced from 4 exons.